GACGAACGCUGGCGGCGUGCUUAACACAUGCAAGUCGAACGGAAAGGCCCUGCUUGCAGGGUACUCGAGUGGCGAACGGGUGAGUAACACGUGGGUGAUCUGCCCUGCACUUCGGGAUAAGCCUGGGAAACUGGGUCUAAUACCGGAUAGGAGCCAUUUUUAGUGUGAUGGUUGGAAAGUUUUUUCGGUGUAGGAUGAGCUCGCGGCCUAUCAGCUUGUUGGUGGGGUAAUGGCCUACCAAGGCGGCGACGGGUAGCCGGCCUGAGAGGGUGGACGGCCACAUUGGGACUGAGAUACGGCCCAGACUCCUACGGGAGGCAGCAGUGGGGAAUAUUGCACAAUGGGCGCAAGCCUGAUGCAGCGACGCCGCGUGGGGGAUGACGGCCUUCGGGUUGUAAACUCCUUUCGCUAGGGACGAAGCUUUUUGUGACGAUACCUAGAUAAGAAGCACCGGCUAGCUACGUG
This 465-nucleotide ribosomal RNA is filed under the name uncultured bacterium. Its description in RNAcentral is "partial 16S ribosomal RNA". It matches the Rfam family "Bacterial small subunit ribosomal RNA", at positions 28 to 507 of the family's 1533-position model. The record is from RNAcentral.